Molecule: small nuclear RNA, 108 nt
Organism: Prionailurus viverrinus (fishing cat)
Lineage: Eukaryota; Metazoa; Chordata; Mammalia; Carnivora; Felidae
Source: RefSeq, a predicted model, not a curated record
GCGCCCACUUUGGCACCAUAUGUACUAAAUUUGGAACAUUACCAAAAACGAUUAGCAUGGCCCCCUGCACAAGGACGACACACAAAUUCUGAAGCGUUCCCUAGUUUU